Ornithorhynchus anatinus (platypus) is the source of this 72-nucleotide non-coding RNA. NCBI's taxonomy places the organism in Eukaryota, Metazoa, Chordata, Mammalia, Monotremata, Ornithorhynchidae. The record is from Rfam.
AGCAGUGUGGCUCAGUGGAAAGAGCCCGGGCUUGGGAGUCAGAGGUCAUGGGUUCGAAUUCCAGCUCUGCCA